UAUUAUGUGGUUGUUUGUUUGUUUUUCCAGAAACAUGUUUUCCAGUUGUGGCAGGGUAAGCGAUUGAACUAUCCUAUUGGUUCUGCUCGGGGUAUGGCUUCGUCAGACCAAUAGGGUGGGAGCUACCCGACUAUUUCAGGACCCUUAUUUUGGUAGGCGCAUAGGUGUCUUGGUGAUUCAGAGUUCCUUACUCCCCUGACAUUUCCGGUUCCCAUUUCCGUUCAGGCAAGUUCAGGCUUUACUCACGGUGCACGUUUGAAUGAGGUGAACGUUUCAAGGUUAAUGUGGCAAGUUGGUGGCGGAGAUCGCGUUCAGUGAUCGCAACAUUUAGCCAGUGGCUGAAUGAUAUGUAGAUGUAUGUCGAGCCGCGGUACCUGUGAGUAAUUAUACCACUUCGUGUCUGGUGUUUUGUUCAACCCAAUGGAGCCAGUGAGUCUUGGUGGAACAGGGGAGGCUAGCUGCAUUUAUUCGGUGGUGUGCUUCACAAUGUGCCCAGUGUGCCAACACAACAACUUCCUUAUGGUGUAGGUAGUGCUUGAUGAUUUUGGUGUGACUUGCAAUGGGUUUGGAUGACCUCCCGAGCUGUAGUUGGCCUGCCUUGUUCAUAGUGCUUAGUUUAAAAAAAAUCCUUAUUGUGCUUCAUGGUAGAGCAAUUUUAUACUUGCAUGUUAAGUUUUAAUGAUUAAGUGUCAUAAUAAAAUAUAGUUUUUAUAUUUA
Long non-coding RNA from Ictalurus punctatus (channel catfish), 717 nucleotides. RefSeq lists it as uncharacterized. Lineage: Eukaryota; Metazoa; Chordata; Actinopteri; Siluriformes; Ictaluridae. The transcript is spliced from 2 exons. The record is from RefSeq and is a predicted model, not a curated record.